This is a long non-coding RNA of Talpa occidentalis (Iberian mole), 456 nucleotides long. RefSeq lists it as uncharacterized. The transcript is spliced from 3 exons. Lineage: Eukaryota; Metazoa; Chordata; Mammalia; Eulipotyphla; Talpidae. The record is from RefSeq and is a predicted model, not a curated record.
GUCUGCAUCCCAUUUGAUGUUCCAUUGAUACUAGCUUACCUUAGAAAAGGCUUAACAUCUCAAAGGAAAUAUAACUUUGCUUCAUCAUUUCAUUGAUUUCAUUUUUCAAGAACCCGCUCACUAGAAACAAGAGAUUGGCACUUCAGUCUGAGGACCUCAACUCUCUGCUCUGGUCCCCAAGGUCCCAGACUGCUUCAGACACCCCUCAGAUGAGACUUGCAAAUGAGAUUUGCCUACUUGGCACAACAGAGAGCAGAAAGAUGGUCCUGGAGAGGAAAGGAUCACAGCAUCGGCGGAUUUGGUUUUACUGAGUUGUGCAUUGUACCUAUGGUCUUUAAAGAAUUGAUGAUGUUGCCUGGCAACCAUUAGGGCAGGAGAGUGUGUUUGACUUACUAACCUUUUCAAAGGUUUCCUAGUGGGUUUAGUGGAUAUGGUGGACUUCAGAAGAUCAUUAAA